This 72-nucleotide transfer RNA is filed under the name Araneus ventricosus. RNAcentral's name for it is "tRNA-Pro". Lineage: Eukaryota; Metazoa; Arthropoda; Arachnida; Araneae; Araneidae. The record is from RNAcentral.
UACCUUUGGCGGCGGUAUAGAACCGGGGACCUUUGGGUUCCGAGCUGAACUUCCUAACCACUAGGAAAAGGG